GAGUUUGAUCGUGGCUCAGGAUGAACGCUAGCUACAGGCUUAACACAUGCAAGUCGAGGGGCAGCAUGGUCUUAGCUUGCUAAGGCCGAUGGCGACCGGCGCACGGGUGAGUAACACGUAUCCAACCUGCCUCAUACUCGGGGAUAGCCUUUCGAAAGAAGAUUAAUAUCCGAUAGCAUAUAUUUCCCGCAUGGGUUUAUAUUAAAGAAUUCGGUAUGAGAUGGGGAUGCGUUCCAUUAGUUG
This 243-nucleotide ribosomal RNA is filed under the name uncultured bacterium. Its description in RNAcentral is "partial 16S ribosomal RNA". It matches the Rfam family "Bacterial small subunit ribosomal RNA", at positions 9 to 247 of the family's 1533-position model. The record is from RNAcentral.